CAUUCACGGAGAGUUUGAUCCUGGCUCAGGACGAACGCUGGCGGCGUGCUUAACACAUGCAAGUCGAACGAUGAAGCCCUUCGGGGUGGAUUAGUGGCGAACGGGUGAGUAACACGUGGGCAAUCUGCCCUGCACUCUGGGACAAGCCCUGGAAACGGGGUCUAAUACCGGAUAUGACCGUCCAUCGCAUGGUGGGUGGUGUAAAGCUCCGGCGGUGCAGGAUGAGCCCGCGGCCUAUCAGCUAGUUGGUGAGGUAGUGGCUCACCAAGGCGACGACGGGUAGCCGGCCUGAGAGGGCGACCGGCCACACUGGGACUGAGACACGGCCCAGACUCCUACGGGAGGCAGCAGUGGGGAAUAUUGCACAAUGGGCGAAAGCCUGAUGCAGCGACGCCGCGUGAGGGAUGACGGCCUUCGGGUUGUAAACCUCUUUCAGCAGGGAAGAAGCGAAAGUGACGGUACCUGCAGAAGAAG
RNAcentral lists this ribosomal RNA (474 nucleotides) under Streptomyces sp. SID8455. RNAcentral describes it as "bacterial SSU rRNA". It matches the Rfam family "Bacterial small subunit ribosomal RNA", at positions 1 to 490 of the family's 1533-position model. Lineage: Bacteria; Bacillati; Actinomycetota; Actinomycetes; Kitasatosporales; Streptomycetaceae. The record is from RNAcentral.